RNAcentral lists this ribosomal RNA (252 nucleotides) under uncultured bacterium. Its description in RNAcentral is "partial 16S ribosomal RNA". It matches the Rfam family "Bacterial small subunit ribosomal RNA", at positions 524 to 776 of the family's 1533-position model. The record is from RNAcentral.
UACGUAGGUGGCGAGCGUUAUCCGGAAUGAUUGGGCGUAAAGGGUGCGUAGGCGGCCUGCUAAGUCUGGAGUGAAAGGUACCGGCUCAACCGGUACAGGCUCUGGAAACUGGCGGGCUAGAGAGCAGGAGAGGGCGGUGGAACUCCAUGUGUAGCGGUAAAAUGCGUAGAUAUACGGAGGAACACCAGUGGCGAAGGCGGCCUGCUGGACAUUAACUGACGCUGAGGCGCGAAAGCGUGGGGAGCAAACAGG